UACGGAGGGUGCAAACGUUGUCCGGAAUCACUGGGCGUAAAGCGCAUGUAGGUGGUUUGGUAAGUGGGUGAUUAAAGACCGAUGCUUAACAUCGGGCCUGUUGCCCAUACUGCCUGACUAGAGGAUGACAGGGGUAAGCGGAACUUUAGGUGUAGGAGUGAAAUCCGUAGAUAUCUAAAGGAACACCAAUGGCGAAGGCAGCUUACUGGGUUUUUCCUGACACUGAGAUGCGAAAGCGUGGGGAGCGAACGGG
RNAcentral lists this ribosomal RNA (253 nucleotides) under uncultured bacterium. RNAcentral describes it as "partial 16S ribosomal RNA". It matches the Rfam family "Bacterial small subunit ribosomal RNA", at positions 524 to 776 of the family's 1533-position model. The record is from RNAcentral.